GCCCGAGGGGAGGGGGCUGAAACUUUUCCCCGCCCUUGUCUUGCUUUCUUUUCCGUCGGAGGAAGAGCGCUGUCCCAGGUGCUGACUGGCCUCUCUCUUGCUCUUCUUCCUUCUUCUUUGCGCUUCCUUCUGUCUCUCAGUUCUUGCCAAAGCAAGCAUCUCUUCCAAGGCGUGGGCUGGCCCUAUUUAUAGCCCAGAGGAGAGAGAGAGAGAGGCAGAGGCAAAGGAAGGAGGGCGCAGGAAGAAGCCACCCCGACUACCAUUCUCAACCUCUGCCAGACCCAAGAAGAAAGGAUUUUGAAGAAUACUAAAACCAUUCCAGCCUCAGUUAGUGGGAAAUUCUGAAUUCUGUGAUCACAGUAUGAACUGGCUUAAUUUCUCCUGGAACGCAUUCAACACCAUAGGACCAGAUGGAUGUCUGGACACUUUCACAGACUGACCCUAGUCAGCCGGUACAACUGUGUUAUAAUGAAAGCAAGUAACUUUAUUCUCAAAGUACUUUGAAAAUAUGUCACAACAGUUCCAGAUCUUUCCUCAGAGCAAUAAUGGGAACUGUGGCCUUCUAGAUGUUGCUGGAUGUGCAGUUGCUACGAUCCUUCAGCUGGCUGCAGUUCUCAAGAAUACAUGGGGAGCCACAUCUGUCUACCCUUUGCAUUAAUAAUCACCAGGUUAGCUAACUACAGAAGGCCCUGAACUUGCCAAAACUCAAGAAAAAAAGCUAUUUGUCUACCUCACAGCCACCAACUAGGUGAUGCCUAUCUCACAGCCAUCAACUAAGUUCAGCAAUGAUGUCAGACAAUUACUAAAUGGGAUUCACAGCAAGUCUUCUUCUAGUUGUGUUCCAGCUGCCUGCCUACUCACUUCAUCUUCAUUUGCCAAAAAAACCCAAAAAGUUUGCUAACUGGACUCUCCACAGUACAAAGGGACAAUUUGGAACUACCUCUUUCAUCUCCAUAUUCUACAGGGUGACAAACAUCCCACUUUGAAAUUCCCCAUGAAAUCUCUUGAAAAUCUAAAGAUUCCACAAGCCUCCAGAUAAUGGGCCAUUAUAACAGAUUCCCCCCCAAUCUCUGCAAAGUAUAACAAGUUUAGCUGCUAUCAGGCUAAACUUCAACAUGAUGUGAUCAGCCAACAACAUGAGAGCUGCUUACAUCCUACUCCUGUCCAAUUAUGAUACCUCAGUAUGUCCUAGGUUUAGCCAAUUACUGUCUCCUUGGGAAAACACUCACAGUUGUCUCAUAGCUAUGAAAAUAUGAGCUGUCCUGUUAAGGCAACUAUAUUGAGGUUUCACACCAAUAUAAGCCUAGCUUGCAAUGAAGCAACCAGAAAGUUCAAGUUCUAAUGUACUUGGAGUACCGCUAUCAAUUCCCAACAAGGCAUUACCAUUUGUCUGGCCAAACAUGUCAAGGAAAUGGAACAGGACUGGAGAACUGCAGGUGUAUUGGUGUUAACUUCUAAUUCCCACCAGCCUAACUACUGGACAGGCACGGCAGUACUAGUAUUUCAUCAACAUCUAGAAUUUCCAAGGUUCCUUGGAAUAAGACUUGACUCAUAGCAGCGCACAGGUAGUACAUCUCCUUCAUUCACCAUUUUGAGCCACCAUUUAAAAUAAGCAGAGGAAAUUAAGGCCAUUUGCCACUUUGAUCUUUUCAAAGAUCAGCCCUUGACAUGAAUGCAUGCGAUUUAGAUGCAUGAAUAGCGAGAAUAGAUGGAUGAAUCAAUGAACAGAACUUGGCUGUAUCCUGGCCUUCGAAGAAAAAGGGAUCCUGAAGGUUUUGGAAGAGAGGACUAAAGAAAAACAUACUUUGUGGCUAAAGAAGCACUGGUUAUCUCAAGCUUGGCACAAAUUAAAUAGAAGGAUGUGUCUGACAAUUGCACCGAGAAGACCAAGAUAGGGCAGGGAAGCUAGAGACUAGUGAAUUUAUCAAUAAGAAAGGUACAAGCACAUCAAGAUACAACAUAUGCUCAUGAACUAUUUUUGGUUAAUCAAAUGUAAAGUCACUAGACAUCCAGCUUUGCCAUAGAUAUAGCUGCAUCCUUGGGGCAAAGUCAUUUCCAUGCUCUCCCAUCAGUUCUGCAGUAGCAAGAAAGCAUGCCUUGCCUAGGGAAGAGCCCCAUAAAAGAAUGUCACACUGAGUUAGACCAAUAGACCAGCAGCUAGCUUCAUAUGAUCAAAUCAAGCUCAACCAAUAAUGGCCCUUGAGGGUCUUGGGCAGAGGCUCUUCCAGACAGGCGAGUCUUGUUUCUUUUUUAAAUGUUAAGAACUGAAUCAGAAGCCUCAGAUGAGCAAGCAUGACUCUGUCCCCACAAAGUUCUGCCCACACUUACAAAGAACUGUUAGGGCGCUCAUCCGGAAAGCUGUAAGGAAGGGAGGAAUCUGUCUGCUCCUGUAUACUGCCACUCCCUGUUACCAUCUGCCAGCUGCCGAAGUCGGUAGAGAUGGAAGAUCCAGGAAGAGAGUGCUCAGCCGAUCUGGGGCAAGGAGAGAGGAGAUGGUGCAAGUCAGUGGCUUCAUUCAGCAACUUCUGGCCCUUCUGCUACAGCCCCCAUUGGCCCCUGGCCCCGCAGAAUUGCAAGGAUGUAAAAGCUGUGGCAGGUUGUAGAGCCCACGUCAAUUCCUUCUAUGGUGAAAAGAUGAUGAGCUUGAUGUAAAGAGAAGGGACCCGAAUCCGCAAGCCAGGCUAAACUGGGCCAAAUCAAAAGUCCGUCAUGCAGAAGCUGUGAGAGCUAAGAGCAAUCCUGUCAUAAGAACCCAGGAAAACUGAUGCCAUUCCCAAACAGGAGCCCUGACGCCACGUCAUGCAAGCUAGUAAGCUGAUCCAACACAAAUGUGCAGAGCAGCAUGGAAACAAACAAGAGGCUGGUGUAGCUGGUGUUUCUGGGAGGAUGUUCAGGAUCUUCUUUUUCCUGCCCUUCCCAGUGAGAUAAGAGCAGUGUCCUGAAAAAAUGGCCCUAAUGUUGUCCACCCAGAAGAUGGAGGUGGUACCCUCAUGAGAUACAGGGCUUUACGCAGGAAGGAAACUUGUGAAAUUAGCCAUUUAAUGCAAAAAGUGACCCCGGAAGAGCAGAACAAAGAGAAAAUGCCAUCUCAAGGAGAAUUAAUCUUAUUCUCAUCUUCCUCAUUCAUUUCUCUCUUUUUGUCUGCGAAUACAUAGCUGGUGGCUCAAGGGUGACACAUAUUGCUGAACAUUAAGCAGUGGUACAAGCUUGGUGAUUUGGAAGUAAUAAAGCUGCAAGGAGCAAAGCAGCAUCCGUUCUGCAGCAGCAAGCUUAUGAGAAAUGCAUUUUUUAGAAAAAAGAAAAGACCCUUCAGGCUACUGCUUUCAACUGGCACCCCAACAGAUGCUGACAUUUUGCAACAGCAACAGCCUUCCUUACCUAAAAGGUCAUUUGGAUGUGCAGAGAAAAAUCUGGAUUUUUUGUUUGAAAACUACCUUCAACUCUUGGCAAGCACCAUCUCCUCCCUCUCCACUCCCCAAAGCCAUCUGAGGUAAAUGGUUGCCAACUUUGAGAACAGGAAAAAGCAAGAAAAGAGGACCAACCAGUCAACAGAGCAAGUAGGCCACCGGUUCCUCCAAAGGCUUUAUAUCUCAAAACACAUCCCUUCCUUGUCUAUUUCAACAAAGGCUUUCCACAGUAGUUUGUAAUGCAGUGUGCAGAGCUCUCUGCUUCAGUCAUUAGCACAGAACACAAUGUAAGAACAGCUGAAAUACACAUCACAUCUAACAUCUUGCUUAGCACAAUGACCAAUUACACACCUCCAGUCAAGUGACAAUGGCAAAUCUGAUGCCUUGACAAAACCCACUGGUAGACCUAGUAAACAAUACUUCUUCCCUGUACUUGUUCACUGGCAGUAAGACCUGUUAGAUAGUACACCGAUUACUAGUUGUUGACAGCAUAUAUAUCAAUGAAUAGAAAACUACCACCCCAACUUUCUGCAUACCAGAUGCCAAAGAUGAAUUGACUGCUCUUCCUUUUCUCCUUUCUGCAGACAACUUUGGGGUGGUGGUGAAGAAUAGUGAAUUUGAAUUGUAGAAAGAAAUACAAGCACUAAUGUGAUAAAUUCUUCGCCAUUGCAAUCCACAGCUGUCCUACUGGAAUCCAGCUGCCUAUAAACUGCUUCUUUAAGUAUAACAUAUUGAUGCAAAGUUGGAGGGAAGAAAAGAAAUACCCAGAAGCCCACUUAGCUCCACUCUGAAGGUCUUUGUAGCAACUGCAUCAAUUCUCUUGUCACAAGAAAGCCAACAAGAUAGGAUGAUAAGGAUGUAGAAACAAGGAGUAAAUAUGAGUGAAUCAGAUGCACAAAUAAAACAGAGUGAGUGAGAUGGGCAACAGAUAUAUUUGCUGAGGUCAGACAUUAGUGAUUCCCUGAAGCAACCAGCAUAGAUCCUUCCUGCAUCGCAGUCACAUCCACCAUUCUUUUGCAGAGGAUGUCUGAUGAGUAACAUGACAGGUCUGACCAAAAUCUCCAUGUCAAUGCAAGAAAGGACCUGAUAAAUGGCUGGCCAAAGAGAAGGCGACUAUUCUUGAAUAUGACUCACCAAUGGUGUUACAGAGAUAAAGGCAACAGGUGGGGUACAUGAGACAGAGCACCACAGUAGGGUUCAGGAAAAACUUUGCAAAAGGAGGAACUAUGCCCAAAGAAGUGAAUGCGAAAUACAGUCCCCAUGAUUCCCAGGGACCAAAGAUUUUCUACAAACAAUCCUAAUGGCAAAAAGAACAGAUGUGUACCAUAAGGGGAAAAGUGAUGCAUGAACUCAACGCUCAGAGACUUUAUCCUUCUUAAUGCAUAGAUCCAUGCUCUUCAGACAGUCUAAGGCCUGGACCUUCUUGGACAGACAAAAUUCAUACAGUCCAGUUGUCCGUAAAUUUGUCGAAUUGAGAACAGAACUCCGUAGAAUACCAGCUGCCCAGAAUGGAGGACAGGAAGGAGACCCAAUGGAAAUUUUUACUGGUUUCUUGGUCAGCAAAGCAGAAGUAUGCGAGAGAGGUCAAAGAGAGUGAGUGAGUGAGUGUGGUCUGCAUGUUCCCAAUAACACAAAGAUGUAUACAAAAUGAAUAAAGGCUCAGCCAAGGAGAUCCAGUAAUAACCAAGGGUUUAA
This is a long non-coding RNA of Anolis carolinensis (green anole), 5102 nucleotides long. RefSeq lists it as uncharacterized. The transcript is spliced from 2 exons. Lineage: Eukaryota; Metazoa; Chordata; Lepidosauria; Squamata; Anolidae. The record is from RefSeq and is a predicted model, not a curated record.